RNAcentral lists this transfer RNA (59 nucleotides) under Loxodonta africana (African savanna elephant). Lineage: Eukaryota; Metazoa; Chordata; Mammalia; Proboscidea; Elephantidae. The record is from Rfam by way of RNAcentral.
AGCAGUUAAGCAUUCAGCUGCUAACCGAAAUGUCGGUGGUUCCAACCCACCAGCUGCUC